RNAcentral lists this ribosomal RNA (704 nucleotides) under uncultured bacterium. RNAcentral's name for it is "bacterial SSU rRNA". It matches the Rfam family "Bacterial small subunit ribosomal RNA", at positions 619 to 1322 of the family's 1533-position model. The record is from RNAcentral.
AACUGCAUUUAAAACUGGCAAACUAGAGUAUAGGAGAGGAAAGUGGAAUUUCAGGUGUAGCGGUGAAAUGCGUAGAUAUCUGAAGGAACAUCAAUGGCGAAGGCAGCUUUCUGGACUAAUACUGACACUGAGGUACGAAAGCGUGGGUAGCAAACAGGAUUAGAUACCCUGGAAGUCCACGCCGUAAACGAUGAUAACUAGCCGUUGGGAGGAUUUACCUCUUAGUGGCGAAGCUAACGCGUUAAGUUAUCCGCCUGGGGAGUACGGCCGCAAGGUUAAAACUCAAAGGAAUUGACGGGGACCCGCACAAGCGGUGGAGCAUGUGGUUUAAUUCGAUGCAACGCGAAGAACCUUACCUGGUCUUGACAUACAGAGAACUUUCUAGAGAUAGAUUGGUGCCUUCGGGAACUCUGAUACAGGUGCUGCAUGGCUGUCGUCAGCUCGUGUCGUGAGAUGUUGGGUUAAGUCCCGUAACGAGCGCAACCCUUAUCCUUAUCUGCCAGCACAUCAUGGUGGGAACUAUAGGGAGACUGCCGGUGAUAAACCGGAGGAAGGCGGGGACGACGUCAAGUCAUCAUGGCCCUUACGACCAGGGCUACACACGUGCUACAAUGGGAAGGACAAAGGGUUGCUAAGCCGCGAGGUGGUGCUAAUCUCAUAAACCUUCUCGUAGUCCGGAUCGGAGUCUGCAACUCGACUCCGUG